RNAcentral lists this ribosomal RNA (969 nucleotides) under Triticum aestivum (bread wheat). RNAcentral describes it as "partial small subunit ribosomal RNA". The record is from RNAcentral. Lineage: Eukaryota; Viridiplantae; Streptophyta; Magnoliopsida; Poales; Poaceae.
AUGGCCGCCUUCGCCACCAGGUCGGCGGCCUUCCUCGGCCUCGCCGCCGUGCUCUGUGUCCUCGUCGGCGAGGCGAGCGCGCAGCAGCUCUCGCCCAGCUUCUACUCGAGGUCUUGCCCCAACCUGGCGUCCAUCGUGCGGUCGGGGAUGACCUCCGCGUUGCAGACGGAGAGGCGGAUGGGCGCGUCCAUCCUCCGCCUCUUCUUCCACGACUGCUUCGUCAAUGGGUGUGACGGCUCCAUUCUGCUUGACGACACGUCGACGUUCACCGGCGAGAAGAACGCCGGGCCGAACGCCAACUCGGCCCGCGGGUUCGAGGUGAUCGACGCCCUCAAGACCCAGGUCGAGGCCGCGUGCAGGGCCACCGUCUCCUGCGCCGACAUCCUCGCGCUCGCCGCCCGUGACGGAGUCAACCUGCUCGGAGGUCCCACCUGGAGCGUGCCGCUGGGGCGCAAGGACUCGCGCACGGCGAGUCAGAGCGCGGCCAACGCGAACCUGCCGGGGCCCGGCUCCAGCCUCGCCACGCUCAUCACCAUGUUCGGCAACAAGAACCUGUCGCCGCGGGACAUGACGGCGCUCUCCGGCGCGCACACCAUCGGGCGGUCGCAGUGCCAGUUCUUUCGCAACCGCAUCUACAACGAGCGCAACAUCAACGCCAGCUUCGCGGCGCUGCGGCAGCGGACGUGCCCGCGGUCCGGCGGCAACGGCAACCUCGCGCCCUUCGACGUGCAGACCGCCGACGGGUUCGACAACGCAUACUACCAGAACCUGGUGGGGCAGCGCGGCCUCCUGCACUCGGACCAGGAGCUCUUCAACGGCGGGUCGCAGGAUGCGCUGGUGAGGCAGUACAGCAACAGCCCCAGCCAGUUCUCCGCCGACUUCGUCACGGCCAUGCUUAAGAUGGGCGGCCUGCUGCCGUCGUCCGGGACGCAGACGGAGGUCAGGUUGAACUGCAGGAGACCCAACUAA